Molecule: ribosomal RNA, 464 nt
Filed under: uncultured bacterium
Lineage: Bacteria
Description: bacterial SSU rRNA
Rfam family: Bacterial small subunit ribosomal RNA
Source: RNAcentral
CCAGACUCCUACGGGAGGCAGCAGUGAGGAAUAUUGGUCAAUGGGCGAGAGCCUGAACCAGCCAAGUCGCGUGAAGGAUGACGGCCCUACGGGUUGUAAACUUCUUUUGUCAGGGAGCAAUUGGGUCCACGCGUGGGCUUAGCGAGAGUACCUGAAGAAAAAGCAUCGGCUAACUCCGUGCCAGCAGCCGCGGUAAUACGGAGGAUGCGAGCGUUAUCCGGAUUUAUUGGGUUUAAAGGGUGCGCAGGCGGCACGGCAAGCCGGCGGUCAAAUCGCGGGGCUCAACCCCGCCCAGCCGUCGGAACUGCCGGGCUAGAGUGGGCGAGAAGUGCGCGGAAUGCGUGGUGUAGCGGUGAAAUGCAUAGAUAUCACGCAGAACUCCGAUUGCGAAGGCAGCGCACCGGCGCCCUACUGACGCUCAGGCACGAAAGCGUGGGUAUCGAACAGGAUUAGAUACCCUCGUA